CGCGUAGGCGGUCGGGUAAGUCGGGUGUGAAAUUCCGGGGCUCAACCCCGUGAACUGCACUCGAUACUGCUCGACUUGAGAGAGGUAGGGGCGAGUGGAAUUCCCGGUGUAGCGGUGGAAUGCGUAGAUAUCGGGAAGAACACCGGUGGCGAAGGCGGCUCGCUGGACCUUUUCUGACGCUGAAGCGCGAAAGCGUGGGGAGCAAACA
This 208-nucleotide ribosomal RNA is filed under the name uncultured bacterium. RNAcentral's name for it is "partial 16S ribosomal RNA". It matches the Rfam family "Bacterial small subunit ribosomal RNA", at positions 568 to 774 of the family's 1533-position model. The record is from RNAcentral.